RNAcentral lists this ribosomal RNA (3113 nucleotides) under Salmonella enterica subsp. enterica serovar Milwaukee str. SA19950795. RNAcentral describes it as "bacterial LSU rRNA". It matches the Rfam family "Bacterial large subunit ribosomal RNA". Lineage: Bacteria; Pseudomonadati; Pseudomonadota; Gammaproteobacteria; Enterobacterales; Enterobacteriaceae. The record is from RNAcentral.
GGGUUGUGAGGUUAAGCGACUAAGCGUACACGGUGGAUGCCCUGGCAGUCAGAGGCGAUGAAGGGCGUGCUAAUCUGCGAUAAGCGCCGGUAAGGUGAUAUGAACCGUUAUAACCGGCGAUACCCGAAUGGGGAAACCCAGUGUGACUCGUCACACUAUCAUUAACUGAAUCCAUAGGUUAAUGAGGCGAACCGGGGGAACUGAAACAUCUAAGUACCCCGAGGAAAAGAAAUCAACCGAGAUUCCCCCAGUAGCGGCGAGCGAACGGGGAGGAGCCCAGAGCCUGAAUCAGCAUGUGUGUUAGUGGAAGCGUCUGGAAAGGCGCGCGAUACAGGGUGACAGCCCCGUACACAAAAGCGCAUGUGCUGUGAGCUCGAUGAGUAGGGCGGGACACGUGGUAUCCUGUCUGAAUAUGGGGGGACCAUCCUCCAAGGCUAAAUACUCCUGACUGACCGAUAGUGAACCAGUACCGUGAGGGAAAGGCGAAAAGAACCCCGGCGAGGGGAGUGAAAAAGAACCUGAAACCGUGUACGUACAAGCAGUGGGAGCCCCACCACCAAAGCAUUCUCUGGUGUUGAAGGCCCUGCAAAGCAGCAUCGCGGUGGCGGAGCGUCGUUUGCGACGCCCAACACACAAAACAAGCGGUGAGUGCUUUGGGGUGGGGUGACUGCGUACCUUUUGUAUAAUGGGUCAGCGACUUAUAUUCUGUAGCAAGGUUAACCGUAUAGGGGAGCCGGAGGGAAACCGAGUCUUAAUUGGGCGUUAAGUUGCAGGGUAUAGACCCGAAACCCGGUGAUCUAGCCAUGGGCAGGUUGAAGGUUGGGUAACACUAACUGGAGGACCGAACCGACUAAUGUUGAAAAAUUAGCGGAUGACCUGUGGCUGGGGGUGAAAGGCCAAUCAAACCGGGAGAUAGCUGGUUCUCCCCGAAAGCUAUUUAGGUAGCGCCUCGUGAAUUCAUCUCCGGGGGUAGAGCACUGUUUCGGCUAGGGGGCCAUCCCGGCUUACCAACCCGAUGCAAACUGCGAAUACCGGAGAAUGUUAUCACGGGAGACACACGGCGGGUGCUAACGUCCGUCGUGAAGAGGGAAACAACCCAGACCGCCAGCUAAGGUCCCAAAGUCAUGGUUAAGUGGGAAACGAUGUGGGAAGGCCCAGACAGCCAGGAUGUUGGCUUAGAAGCAGCCAUCAUUUAAAGAAAGCGUAAUAGCUCACUGGUCGAGUCGGCCUGCGCGGAAGAUGUAACGGGGCUAAACCAUGCACCGAAGCUGCGGCAGCGAACGUAUCACCCAAGACAACUUUACGGAGUUGACGAUUGACGGAGCGAAGCGACGUCAAAGCGUUCAUUAAAGUCGAGUUGGCUUAGGGAUACGUUCGUUGGGUAGGGGAGCGUUCUGUAAGCCUGUGAAGGUGGCCUGUGAGGGUUGCUGGAGGUAUCAGAAGUGCGAAUGCUGACAUAAGUAACGAUAAAGCGGGUGAAAAGCCCGCUCGCCGGAAGACCAAGGGUUCCUGUCCAACGUUAAUCGGGGCAGGGUGAGUCGACCCCUAAGGCGAGGCCGAAAGGCGUAGUCGAUGGGAAACGGGUUAAUAUUCCCGUACUUGGUGUUACUGCGAAGGGGGGACGGAGAAGGCUAUGUUGGCCGGGCGACGGUUGUCCCGGUUUAAGCGUGUAGGUGUGUGUUCCAGGUAAAUCCGGUUCACUUUAACACUGAGGCGUGAUGACGAGGCACUACGGUGCUGAAGCAACAAAUGCCCUGCUUCCAGGAAAAGCCUCUAAGCAUCAGGUAACAUCAAAUCGUACCCCAAACCGACACAGGUGGUCAGGUAGAGAAUACCAAGGCGCUUGAGAGAACUCGGGUGAAGGAACUAGGCAAAAUGGUGCCGUAACUUCGGGAGAAGGCACGCUGACACGUAGGUGAAGUGAUUUACUCAUGGAGCUGAAGUCAGUCGAAGAUACCAGCUGGCUGCAACUGUUUAUUAAAAACACAGCACUGUGCAAACACGAAAGUGGACGUAUACGGUGUGACGCCUGCCCGGUGCCGGAAGGUUAAUUGAUGGGGUCAGCGCAAGCGAAGCUCCUGAUCGAAGCCCCGGUAAACGGCGGCCGUAACUAUAACGGUCCUAAGGUAGCGAAAUUCCUUGUCGGGUAAGUUCCGACCUGCACGAAUGGCGUAAUGAUGGCCAGGCUGUCUCCACCCGAGACUCAGUGAAAUUGAACUCGCUGUGAAGAUGCAGUGUACCCGCGGCAAGACGGAAAGACCCCGUGAACCUUUACUAUAGCUUGACACUGAACAUUGAGCCUUGAUGUGUAGGAUAGGUGGGAGGCUUUGAAGUGUGGACGCCAGUCUGCAUGGAGCCGACCUUGAAAUACCACCCUUUAAUGUUUGAUGUUCUAACGUGGACCCGUGAUCCGGGUUGCGGACAGUGUCUGGUGGGUAGUUUGACUGGGGCGGUCUCCUCCUAAAGAGUAACGGAGGAGCACGAAGGUUGGCUAAUCCUGGUCGGACAUCAGGAGGUUAGUGCAAUGGCAUAAGCCAGCUUGACUGCGAGCGUGACGGCGCGAGCAGGUGCGAAAGCAGGUCAUAGUGAUCCGGUGGUUCUGAAUGGAAGGGCCAUCGCUCAACGGAUAAAAGGUACUCCGGGGAUAACAGGCUGAUACCGCCCAAGAGUUCAUAUCGACGGCGGUGUUUGGCACCUCGAUGUCGGCUCAUCACAUCCUGGGGCUGAAGUAGGUCCCAAGGGUAUGGCUGUUCGCCAUUUAAAGUGGUACGCGAGCUGGGUUUAGAACGUCGUGAGACAGUUCGGUCCCUAUCUGCCGUGGGCGCUGGAGAACUGAGGGGGGCUGCUCCUAGUACGAGAGGACCGGAGUGGACGCAUCACUGGUGUUCGGGUUGUCAUGCCAAUGGCACUGCCCGGUAGCUAAAUGCGGAAGAGAUAAGUGCUGAAAGCAUCUAAGCACGAAACUUGCCCCGAGAUGAGUUCUCCCUGAGACUUAAAGUCUCCUGAAGGAACGUUGAAGACGACGACGUUGAUAGGCCGGGUGUGUAAGCGCAGCGAUGCGUUGAGCUAACCGGUACUAAUGAACCGUGAGGCUUAACCUUACAACGCCGAAG